AAUCAAAUCAUGAGGGCAGUUACCCUCAUGCUGUUCUCGUGAUAGCGAGUGAGUUCUCAUGAGAUCUGAUGGUUUUAUAAGGGACUUUUCCCCUUUUGCUUGGCACUUCUCCUUCCUGCCACCAUGUGAAAAAGGACAUGUUUGCUUCUCCUUCUGCCAUGAUUCUUCUGGGAGCCUUCUGCAUUCCGUGGUUUGGGUCCCUUUCCUCCAUCUUCAAAACCAGUCUAACAGCAUUUUCAUAUCUCUAUGAUACUAAUUUCCUCUUUUUUGAGGCAUAAACAUAUUUUCAUUGAAAAUCGUGAAGAAUUGAGAAGGAAAGGAGUCUGAAAUUUUAAAUGGAGACUUCUCUCUUGCUGGCUUAGGUAAAGCAAGCCCCACAUGGCAAAGAACUGAGGGACAGACAAUAAGAAACAAGCUCUCAGCCCAACAAGCCACAAGGAAGUGAAUUUUGCCAACAACCAAGUGAGCUUGGAAGCAGAUCCUUCCAUAAUCAAGCUUUGAGACAAAACUGCAACCUGGAUUGACCCCUUGACUGCAACUUUGAAGAGAACAACUAAAUUGUGUCCUUACUGCUGAUCCACAGGAUUCUGUGUUGCUUUAAACUACUGUUUGUGGUAACAUUGUAACACAAAUAUACAUAACCAAUACCAUUUACAUGGUGCUUACUAUAUGUCAGGCACUAUUCCAAGAGUUUACUCUUUUAAUCUACGUAACUCAAGGAUAUAAUUCAUCUCAUUUUAUAAAUAAAGAAGAGAACACAGAGCUUAAAUAACUUGUCAAAGUUCACAGAGCAAGCAUCUCCAAUCAAAAUAUAUAAUAAUAUGCUUCUCUGUAAAAAUAAUAUUUUGUUAAUGAAAUGGAGUUUAAUAGGCCUGUAUGCUACCCACAUCUGAAUUCCACUGAAGUAUUUUCUCACAAAUAUUUUAUACCUCACAAAAUAUUUUAUACACAAAUAUUUUAUAUCUCACAAAAAUUUUUAUACCUCCUGGCAAACUCAAUCAAACCAAGAAAUAGGAUGCCUUAAUUGGUUAGACAAGGGAGAGUUGAAAUUCGUUUCAGCUUGUCUGCAAUCUGUUUGUAACACAGAGAAGAAAUUUUUGCCAGAAGACAAUUUAACGAGGGUGAUGUAAAUAUUUUAGCCAAUAUCAUGUAACCAUCUUCUUCCCAUAUUAACUAUCUUGUUCCAUAAUUUCCAUCCCCCACUUAAACAAUCCUGAUAUUGCCUAAUGUUAAAAUAUGUUUAAAAGAAAAGUUUUAACUUAGGCUAAAAUAUCAUUUUCAUAAAUAGAGCUAAGGAAAUGACAAUUGAUUAGAAAAUAAAUGUCAUGUUGCCACAUUACUGAACUACAUUAUACUAUAGGAUAUCCCAAGUACUGUAAUGUGGAGUAGUGUUAGAUUUUGGAUAACAGAUGGGAGACCAGUUUUGAUGCAAAGAUUUUAGUUGAUUUCCUGAGUUAAAUCAGAUGUUCAUCCCUAUAAAUUAAGUAGCAAUCUUAUCCCUAUUCUAGCAUUAUAAAUGCCUCUAUUAUAUCAUGUAAUAAAUGUUGACCAUAGUUAAAAUACAGAAGUGUGACAUAUUUCUUUGAUAUAACCCCAUAAACAUCCCCUACCCGUCUGUCCUUCCUUAGCAUUCAGAGUACUCUAGCCACAUGGAACUACCAUACCAAAACAUUUGUUUUAUGAGUGAAUAGCUUAAUUGCUGAUAUCCUUAUAGAAAACACAUACCUAUGUAUGUGUAAUAAUUUCAUACCAUUGUUCAGUUUAUUGAAUGUUGAAGAUAUUAAACAGGACACUUGUGUAAUGUAACUGCUCUUGGAUUAGUCACAAUAGAAAGGUAUUUGCUUAGGUUGUCAGCUGUGACAAACUGAAUCACUAAAUUACCUCAAUUUUAAAAUUAAUAAAAGAUAUUUAAGAUAUAUCAAUUUUUUCUUCUGGUCUGAUAAUAAAAGCAUGGAAAAUUCAGGAAAAUGGAAAAAUCCUAUGGCUUAUCAGGAAAGAUGAUGUUUUGUAUCAAUAUGUCUACCCUGAGAGCUUUGUCCAUCUUCUUUUGUUACUUUUAGCUAAUCCUUUAGAGGGGCAAAGAGAACAGAGAAAGAAAAUGAAAACAAAAAGAUGGCACGUAUCAAUCAUUUAUCCAGAUAAACCUAUUUCCAUAUAUUGGGUGUUCUAUGUAUUUAAGGAUAUAUGUUAAUAAUUAACUCAAAAGUUAUGAGUAAAUUUCAUUUAGCUCAAAACGUUUCCAUACACAAUCUGUUAUGUCAGAAAAUAUUAACCAAGGUUCCCACCUUACCGAUAGAAAAAAAUAACCAACUCCCAGUUGCAUCAAAUCUACAGUUUUGGUGAACGUUAGUUUCAUGACCAUUAAAAAACAGAGAUUAACAGAUGCUUUCAGAUCCAAAAUAAGGCAGUCUUUUAUAUACAAAAGCCUUGGCACAUGUCUGCAAAUGCUACUGAGAAAGGUAGCAUUGCAAACUGUUCAGUCUCAUAGUUGAUUCAAAAACACUGCUCCCUUCUUUUUCUUCUCUAACAUGCCAGUCUAGAAAUUCAGCUCCUGUGCCAUAGGGAUGAUUGGUAUUAGAGUCUUCCUUCUUGCAUGCAUCCCCUACAGUGCUGCAAUGAGGAUGGUAGAAAUGGGAAACACGUCCCCUCUUACUUGAGUGCCUGUAGCACAUUUGUUAAACUGUUUGUUGUCACUUCUCUGUAAAAUAUUAACUGGAAGUUGGUUCCCUUUUUGCAGCAGCCAAUGAAAUAUUCAUUCUCUUGAGAUUAUUUGUUGGUUUUUCAAGAACCUUCCUCUCCUUGCACAAUUUCCCAGUGCUAGAGACUUGGCUUAGGAUUAAAUUUCUUUUUAAAGCAUCUCAAAUCACCAUACUGUCUUUUGUCCUCUGGUAUGGGUUGUCCAGGGAGUAAGUUUACUUUUGUUCUGUAAUAAACUACCCGCAAACUUAGUGGCCCCAUCACAUUAUUAUCACUUACAAUUAUUACUAGGUGCUUCUUCUGGUAUGGACCACCUAGUCUGAUCUGUUUGGCUAGCUCAGGCAUCUGUAGUAAACUAAUGAGUCACCUAACCAAUUGGAUAUUAUAGGAUAGCCUUGCCUAUGAGUUUGGAGAUUGAACAACUGAGGCAACAGGCAUCUUAUCUACGUGUUUUUUCGUUCUUCAUUUUCUAGAAAGUUAGCAGGCUGAUUUACAUGGUCACCCAAGCUUUCCAAAUGUAGCCAGAGAGGGCAAGUUUCAAUGUAUGAAAACUUUUCUAGAUGAGAAUGCUUCUUUUGGGAAGAUUCUAUGUAUACCCCUCUCAUUGCUUUCCACAAUAUUCCCAGCUGAGGAGAGACAUGUUGAACAAUUCAAAUGAACUAAUAACACUCAAUUUCUUAAAAUCUAGUGGAUGCUGAUGUGUUC
Homo sapiens (human) is the source of this 3402-nucleotide long non-coding RNA. The record is from Ensembl. Lineage: Eukaryota; Metazoa; Chordata; Mammalia; Primates; Hominidae.